CCCUUAGAUGUUCUGGGCCGCACGCGCGCUACACUGAUGCAUUCAACGAGUUUCUUCCUGGUCCGAGAGGAAUGGGUAACCUUUUGAAAGUGCAUCGUGAUAGGGAUAGACUAUUGCAAUUAUUGGUCUUCAACGAGGAAUUCCUAGUAGACGUAGUUCAUCAGACUGCAUCGAUUACGUCCCUGCCCUUUGUACACACCGCCCGUCGCUCCUACCGAUUGAAUGCUCAGGUGAGCCAUUCGGACUUUCAUCAUGCUGGUUUCCAGUUUUGAUGAAGGAAAGUCUUGCGAACCUUAUCAUUGAGAGGAAGGAGAAGGCGUAACA
This 324-nucleotide ribosomal RNA is filed under the name uncultured eukaryote. RNAcentral describes it as "partial 18S ribosomal RNA". It matches the Rfam family "Eukaryotic small subunit ribosomal RNA", at positions 1470 to 1796 of the family's 1831-position model. The record is from RNAcentral.